GAAAAGGUUAUAUUUGUUCUUAUACAGCAAAAUUUGAAUUUUUUUACACAUUAGUUUUGUCACGGGAAAAUUCCUUAAAAAUACACGGACUAAUUUUCAUUUGCUAAUAAAAUACACUAACUAUUUUGGAUCCCCGUUUAAUACACGAACUAAUUUUUGUUUCCUAUUAAAUACACAAACUUUUAAAAUUCGCAGAUUUUACACAUCG
RNAcentral lists this long non-coding RNA (208 nucleotides) under Brassica napus (rape). RNAcentral describes it as "long non-coding RNA (BNAP_LNC014494)". Lineage: Eukaryota; Viridiplantae; Streptophyta; Magnoliopsida; Brassicales; Brassicaceae. The record is from RNAcentral.